AGGAGGAAAAACGAGUCGGUCGG
RNAcentral lists this microRNA (23 nucleotides) under Tribolium castaneum (red flour beetle). RNAcentral's name for it is "Tca-Mir-3842_5p (mature (co-guide))". Lineage: Eukaryota; Metazoa; Arthropoda; Insecta; Coleoptera; Tenebrionidae. The record is from RNAcentral.